CAAUAGCGUAUAUUUAAGUUGCUGCAGUUAAAAAGCUCGUAGUUGGAUUUCGGGUGGGAAUGGCCGGUCCGCCGUUUCGGUGUGCACUUGCUACGCCCACCUUGCUGCCGGGGACGUGCUCUUGAGUUCACGCUCGGGACACGGUGUCGGCGAGGUUACUUUGAGUAAAUUAGAGUGUUCAAAGCAGGCCUACGCUCUGAAUACAUUAGCAUGGAAUAACACGAUAGGACUCUGGCCUAUCUUGUUGGUCUGUAGGACCGGAGUAAUGAUUAAGAGGGACAGUCGGGGGCAUUCGUAUUUCAUUGUCAGAGGUGAAAUUCUUGGAUUUAUGAAAGACGAACUACUGCGAAAGCAUUUGCCAAGGAUGUUUUCAUUAA
Molecule: ribosomal RNA, 377 nt
Filed under: uncultured eukaryote
Lineage: Eukaryota
Description: partial 18S ribosomal RNA
Rfam family: Eukaryotic small subunit ribosomal RNA
Source: RNAcentral